RNAcentral lists this ribosomal RNA (513 nucleotides) under uncultured bacterium. RNAcentral's name for it is "partial 16S ribosomal RNA". It matches the Rfam family "Bacterial small subunit ribosomal RNA", at positions 28 to 523 of the family's 1533-position model. The record is from RNAcentral.
GAUGAACGCUGGCGGCGUGCCUAAUACAUGCAAGUCGAACGCGCAGCGAAAGGUGCUUGCACCUUUCAAGCGAGUGGCGAACGGGUGAGUAACACGUGGAUAACCUGCCUCAAGGCUGGGGAUAACAUUUGGAAACAGAUGCUAAUACCGAAUAAAACUUAGUAUCGCAUGAUACAAAGUUAAAAGGCGCUACGGCGUCACCUAGAGAUGGAUCCGCGGUGCAUUACUUAGUUGGUGGGGUAAAGGCCUACCAAGCCGAUGAUGCAUAGCCGAGUUGGGAAACUGAUCGGCCACAUUGGGACUGAGACACGGCCCAAACUCCUACGGGAGGCUGCAGUAGGGAAUCUUCCAAAAUGGGCGCAAGCCUGAUGGAGCAACGCCGCGUGUGUGAUGAAGGCUUUCGGGUCGUAAAGCACUGUUGUAUGGGAAGAAAUGCUAAAAUAGGGAAUGAUUUUAGUUUGACGGUACCAUACCAGAAAGGGACGGCUAAAUACGUGCCAGCCGCCGCCGUAA